UACGGGGGGGGCAAGCGUUGUUCGGAAUUACUGGGCGUAAAGGGCUCGUAGGUGGCCAACUAAGUCAUACGUGAAAUCCCUCGGCUUAACCGGGGAACUGCGUCUGAUACUGGAUGGCUUGAGAUCGGGAGAGGGAUGCGGAAUUCCAGGUGUAGCGGUGAAAUGCGUAGAUAUCUGGAGGAACACCGGUGGCGAAGGCGGCAUCCUGGACCAACACUGACACUGAGGAGCGAAAGCCAGGGGAGCAAACGGG
RNAcentral lists this ribosomal RNA (253 nucleotides) under uncultured bacterium. RNAcentral's name for it is "partial 16S ribosomal RNA". It matches the Rfam family "Bacterial small subunit ribosomal RNA", at positions 524 to 776 of the family's 1533-position model. The record is from RNAcentral.